Molecule: ribosomal RNA, 425 nt
Filed under: uncultured bacterium
Lineage: Bacteria
Description: bacterial SSU rRNA
Rfam family: Bacterial small subunit ribosomal RNA
Source: RNAcentral
GGGGAAUUUUGGACAAUGGGGGAAACCCUGAUCCAGCCAUCCCGCGUGUGCGAUGAAGGCCUUCGGGUUGUAAAGCACUUUUGGCAGGAAAGAAACGUCGCGGGUUAAUACCCCGCGGAACUGACGGUACCUGCAGAAUAAGCACCGGCUAACUACGUGCCAGCAGCCGCGGUAAUACGUAGGGUGCAAGCGUUAAUCGGAAUUACUGGGCGUAAAGCGUGCGCAGGCGGUUCGGAAAGAAAGAUGUGAAAUCCCAGAGCUUAACUUUGGAACUGCAUUUUUAACUACCGGGCUAGAGUGUGUCAGAGGGAGGUGGAAUUCCGCGUGUAGCAGUGAAAUGCGUAGAUAUGCGGAGGAACAUCGAUGGCGAAGGCAGCCUCCUGGGAUAACACUGACGCUCAUGCACGAAAGCGUGGGGAGCAAAC